Molecule: long non-coding RNA, 8318 nt
Organism: Falco peregrinus (peregrine falcon)
Lineage: Eukaryota; Metazoa; Chordata; Aves; Falconiformes; Falconidae
Exons: 2
Source: RefSeq, a predicted model, not a curated record
UUCGUGCAUGGCCGGGCAGCCGGCUCCCUCCAGCCCCCGGCUGCGCGGCGGGCUCGGCGCGGCGGCAGAGCCGCUGCCGGGCGGAGGGGAGGGCUGCGCGGCUGCCGGGGUCACAGCGAGCCGCUCGCUCUGCUGCGGGAUCUUGGACGGCAGCGGCUGUGCCGCCCCUGGCGGGGAGCGCCUCGCCUGACCCGCUGCCGCGAUCCGUUUUGGGAGGGGGAGAUGGACGCCGCAAAUGCUGGCCGAGCCUGGCUGGAGCAGGGUGAAGGGCUGCGACAGUUCCACAGAUGGGCAUUUAAAGCUCUGAUGUAAAUCCUACUGAAGCGAGGGGCUGAGGCAGUUCUGCUGACUUCAGGGGGAUCAUUUUGAAGAAUGGGGGUAAGUGAUUCUUAGUGGACUGUGACAGAGAAUUGUGCUACUGACAACACAGUCAUCUUUUCUAUCUAAGGCUCUUUUUCAAGCCCUGGUAAAAAUUGAACCAUAAAUGAAAGUACAUGGUAAGAACUUGGUGAAAUGAAAAAAUCCAGAAUGAAUGUUUUGACCCUUCUGGUUCCCCUUCCUCCAUUAAAUCUUGUGCGAGCUUUGUACGAGCCUAGGAAAUACACAUGGAAGCGGUUCGCCGUUAGUGAUGAGCAGUGCUGUGGAGCUGUAGGGUGAUUAGGGCCUUGACUGAAAUUCGCCAGAGUGAAAUGAUGCCACUGUCUGGAUACAAAUGUUUUCUAAAGCUUGUCCUUUGGGUUGAUACUUUGGUAAAACAGAACACCCUGCCAGCAAUGUUGAACUAUGCUGUUUCAAUGUUCUUAGGCUGAAGUUCAUCAGUUAGAGAGGCGUAUUUUAACUUUAUGUAUAGAAAAAUAAAGUGUUUCAAUUUAAGAGAUCAAGUAAAAAAAAAAACAAACCACCAACCAAAAAAAACCCCCAAAGCAUUUACCCAAACUAAAAUUCUUUUGCCACUUCAUUUCGUGGAACCAUGGAGCCCCUCAGGCAUUUACAGUGUUUUGAGGUGGCCUUCUUACUUAAACAGAACACUUGGUGACUUCCCAGCUCUGCCUUACAGGUUCAUGGGCUGGUGUGCUUCACAGUUACCACAAGAAUUAGUUGGAGACCAUGACAAUUAAAUAUGAUUAUGGAUUAUUAUCAUAUUCUAAAUACUAAAUGAUUCUGACAAAUAUUCUCAGAGAGAUUUGAAAACUGACCUGCACACUGUGCACUGCAUUUGCUUACAUAUUUAGGCUACUGGUAUUUCUGGGAAGCUAUAGUUUAUUAAUUCAUUAUUAUUUUAUUGAUGUUCAAUUGAUGUCUUAUUAAAUGUAAAUUAGAUAUUUGGGAAUAAUAAUUUAGUGGGAUGAGGCAGGUGAGAUUCCCCCAGGAUAGGUUGUAAUGAAGCUUCAGAUUGUUAAUAAUCCUACACUCAUAAAUAAAUUAUUAAGGGUGAAACGAAUGCAAGAAUACUGAAAUAAGCUAUGAAAAUGUUAAGUGGUGGUGAACAGACACAUAAUUUGCUGGGAGAUCUGUGUGAUAAUGUAUAUUUGGCACUAAGUCACGUAAGUCAGUCAUGUCAGUGCUCCCCACUCCUUCCAACCAUUUAAUAUUUUGCCAUGUCUCUACUCGUCCUACCCCAUUAUUAUGCCAUGCCAUUCUGUUCACAGGCAUUUUGCUUUGCAUGGGAACAGUGUUAAUUUAAUACACUCAGCUGACCUCGGUGGCACUGAAGUGACACAGCAGCAGCAGUCCAGAGUGCUGCAGUAUAUCCUGCUGUUAGCAGAACUCUUGGGGAGACCAUGUACUUUUCUGGACAGUUGUCUGCGAACUCUUUUGGGAAAAGCUGGGGGGAGCUGGCUCUUCGACCACACUGUAAGUGUCAAGAAGGACACAUCCUCUCACUUAGCUCUCAUCUUUUCCAUGGAAGACAUAUUUUUCUUGAAGAGUUAAGAAAAGACAGAAUAGAGAACCUACUGUUAUAUAAGAAAAGAAGGGAUGUAUAGAAGGAGAGGAUUCUGUUAGUGUAAGUAUUGGUUGGUGCUUUGGUUUUUUGGAUGCCCAGCAUCCUGCAAAAGUCUUAAGAAAUCCAAAACCCCCAUUUCUUCAGUAAAAACGUCACCGCUAUCCCAGCCUUCAAAGACAGAGCUAAAUCGCAAGGGAAUACUCUGUGUCUGUCUUUUGCACUCGCUGCAGCGGGAACUGCAAAAACUCAGCACUUUGUAAAAUGCUGCUGGUAAUUUGAAGAGUUAAGUGAUGUCGCAGGUUAGUGAAUGUAAAGAAGCUUAGUGCCUAAAACUAAUUUCCUGGUAUUUCUGUCAGUGGAAGUAAGAGAUACACAGAAUUCUGAAAAUCUGGCCCUAUGGCUCUAGUGUUACAUGUAAGUAGCGGUGACGGAGGAAUUCAGAUAGGGAUUCGGUUGUACCCAAUACGGAAUUUUGUCCCAAAUUCAUUUUGGGUAGCUUGAUGUCACUUCUGUAACGUUAAAGCUGAGGGCACUCUUGCUACUCAUGGUGGUUUUGAUAAAAAGCUCAAUUAAAUUUUUUUAGAAAAUUAACAAAGGGGUGGCUUAGUCACCGGCUUAGACUUUCACCUAAAAUUCUGUUCCAGGAAUUUGAUGGUUAUUGAAUGGCCUGAAGGGUUGCAAACUAGAAUUUUGGCAUAAUACAAGGUACAGAAAAAAGACAAAUAUGCUGCUUUUCUGAUGAAAGACCUUGGUUGCUAGGAAGAGAGUAUUCAAGUGUUUGCUUAUGUUUUGCUGGGGUUUUAACAGUCUGGAAUAAAUAGGUAACACUGUGCCUUUUAAAUAAUGUUUUCUUGAAUAGUCAAGCUAUAACCUAAUGAAAUUAAGUAAUCACAUUUCCUUAAAAAUUGAGAAUUACAGUAUCUCUGUAAUUAAAGUGCUGUAUAUGUCAAACAGAAAUCUGCUGGCUAAUACAUUUUUAUAUGCUUUUGUAAUUGGAGGUUUUUAAAUAAUCUUGCAUGAUUUAUUAUCUUUUUUAUAUAUAUAUAAAAUCGUUAUAACAUAUAUAUAACAAAUAUAUGUUAAUAUAAUUAAUCAUUAUAUUAACAGCUUGAAUGUUGAAAACCAGAAAAUUCUGAUGCCUCGCCCUAGCAGGGUAAGGACAGAGAGGUUAUUUGUGUGAUUUUGCAGCAUCCAUAGCGGAAUAAUGUUCUUUUUGUGAACGGUUGUUCCUGUGCAUCUGCCAGGAGACCCAUAGAUAUGGAAAACAAAUCCAGCUUGAAUCAUUUGCCACUUUUUCCCUGAUGUGCCAGCGUGAUCUGGUGGCACUGUUGGCAAGUUCCUGUACCUACAGUCACUGUCGCUUUUCUGGGGAGCCGCGUUAAGCAAUUGCUUUGGUCACCAGGUGCUUGUCCCUCCUCCACUUGCCUGCACAGGCUGGUCUUGGAAGAAGGUCCUGCCCUGCUCUUGAUGUUGUUUGCACGGUCCCCACAUUUCUUGUGGCUCGAUGUCAGCACGACAAAAAACCCUUCCCAGGCUCUGCUUGCCGCCAUGGAUGUAGGAGCGCUGUGAGAGAUGAAUAAAUGGUUUGUAAGAUCCCUUCCACUUUCUCAUUUAGGAAUUAGAGAAGUCUUGAGGCUAGUUCCACGCUUGGGGCUGUUUUCUUGUCCUGCAAGAAAAUAAGAAAUAAAUUACUUCAAACACAGCACCACGUUCUGCAGCUUUUAUGCAGACAGAGGUGCUGUUGUAAUUGCAGUUUAUCUGCCUGUGUAAGAACUGCAAGAUUAAAUAGGCAUUAAGUAGGCAUUUAAGCUGUUUGGGGCCCGACAUCCAUCCCUCUGGUGUGUGUACAUAAAGCUCGGCUGAGGGAACGCGGCAAACAUCCUGCAGCCUCCAGACACACCUAAAAAUCGGUGCUUCUGCAUUUGCCCUUGUCUCCCUUUAAACUGCUACUGCUGUUGCUGCACAUCUUUAUUCAGAGUUACAUCUAGCGAGGUGGGAGUAGAGGGUAACAUUUGUAGUAAUUGGUAAUCAAAAUGAAAGAGGAAACAACGAAAAGGCCUAUAAUGCAAGAUGAUCAUGAAGUGCCAAAUAAAAUUUGCGAAAGGUGUUCCUUCUAAAUUAGACGGAGGCAGCAUUUUGUCAGAUUGAUAUCGCCUCAGUGACUCCAGUACAGCCUUGGUAGCUUUUGGCUAACAAAUGAGAAGGGUUGUGGUAUGCCCUGUGAUUAAAACAAUAAGACCAAAGAACACAGGGAAUUAGUAACCCUUGACUGUGGUCAGGAAUCCCUGUAAAACUAGGAUUGGCAAUGUCCAAGAGUUGGAGCUGAUACAAAUCACAUAUAUGGCCUGAUGAGCUAUGAAGCCAGCCUCAUAGAUCAGUCACAGCCAGAAGUGCACAGCUUAACAGCAAACUGAGCUCAGCAGUAAAUAUUACAGCUCAAGGAGUACAUGCCCUGGUGCUCGGGGAUGGUAAUGGAAAAGCAUCUAUUGACUUCAUUUGGAGUUCGAGCUGCCUGUUAGAGGAAGUGCACUAAGUGUCUAACCCAGCUGUUGCCCAUCUUUAUCUGCACAUUUUACCCAGUCAGAUUCAUUUAAUUACCAAUAUAAUAAUGUGUUCUCGCUGCAACUUAACACUACAAUAUAUUUUAACUCGAUGUUACUGCGGUGCAGCUGUAAGUCAAAUACUGUGUUUUAUUUCAAAAUACAAGGUGGGAAUAGAGAAAGCAGCUGUCAUACAACAGAGGGGCAACCUCGUAAUAGCAAAUGGCAUUUCAGUUAAAUUUUCAGAGGGGGAAUGAUAUUCUAGGUGUUUUCUGUAUUAAAAUAUUGUAGUAGCUUGUUGACAGAAGCAAACAGCUCAUGGCUUCUUACCUGCUUUUUGUUAGACUUCACUGUGCAAUAGCAGUCCUUGACUCCGGCAGAACGCUUCUUUGUCUGCGGAGAUGAAGGCCUCGUAGAGUAAGCAAACCUUAAAAACAUACCCCAAGCCCAAAGAAACAGUCUUUGGACUGGGAUCCAGGUAUCCUGGUUCAUAGCCAGAACAACUUACACUCAAGACCAGACUAGAUGUGCCUGUAGUAGCUCCUAGAAGGGAAGAGUCAUACAUAUGCAUGCGUAUGAACCUGUGAGCUGGUAACCUCACACCUUGCUGAAGACAGCUCUGCAGCAGGAAGGUGCAUCACGGCUGCAUUUUUCAUCAGGAGACUAUGUUAUUUUUUGCUGCAACAACUGUAUAUAACCCGACAAUUUUUCUCUCCAGUCUCUUGGGUUAACUUUUAUCCGUGGUCGAGUUUAGAAUCCCCAAAUGAUUAUGUAAUGGGUACAAAACACCUGAUAAUAUAACAGGCCUCUUCUAAUUUUUUUUAAAGCUGCAUUAAUGUAGCUCCUUAGGUGUCAUUGUGUCUUUUUCAGCAUCACUCCAUUGUGAAUCAUGCACAGACAGCAGCGAGAGAACAGAACCUACCGCAGCCUGUGAGCAGCAAGGAAUUUCAGCUGGAUGACUGCAUAAGGGUUUUGCAAGGCCGCCAGUAAUUUUUUAUAUUCAGAGUUAAAUAGAGCAAUAAGAUGGAAUUUAAGCUUUAGUGCAAUGGAUUGCGGCUCUUCAGUCAAUCAAAUUAUAGUUCAAUCAGUUCAUUUUAAUCACUUCUCUGGAGAGAAGUAAACCCCUAUGUUGAAGAAUAUGCAGCAAUUUUAUUGAUGGAAAGUUUAAUUGUUUCAUUUUUCCUUACCGUCUGUAACACACUAGACUUUUAAUCAGUGGGAACUGAAGUUAUAAUGAAGUAAAGUCCACUUUCCACAGUUCACAACUAGCUGAAAAUAAUUGGGUUGAGACUCCCAUCCAGACAGUGUAAUGCCUCUGGCAUUUUCCUGAAAACUACACUUAAUUGCUUUGCUGAUGUUGUUAAGUGGUCCUGAGGGGGAUGAAGUAGUAAAGCUGCCCACAUAUGCAGGGAAACAAUACACAAAAAAUGUCUUACAAGGUCCUUAAAGGAGGACCAACUAGUGACUAAAAGACAAUAUAUGGCUUUUUUUCUUUCCUUUUCUAUACUAGAGAGAGCACACAGGAGAGACUGAUAAAAUAAACUGUGGAAAUUCUAUGAACACUAACAGUAUUUUUAUUUAAGGGCAGAAGGCUUGGGACUAGAAGUACAGAAGACAUCAAGGAAGACCUCUUGCAAUCAAACCUGCAACUUAAGGCUAGCCCAGCUCAAUUGGCAUCUUUAUGCUGAACGCCGGUUCGCACUGCCUGCUUGCAGCACUUUGGGCUGAGGAACAGAUGUACUCUUGUCCCCGGGGAGGGCGGACAGCUUGCGCUCUGCGCUCUGCAGUGGCAGGAUGCGAGCCAGCUAGGAGCUGAAAGCCUUGUCCGGGCAUCAGUGGGACCAGCGAUCGCACCCCGUUAGGCUCUAAAUGUAAGCAGAGAAGGAACAAUAUUUUAGAAUUUCUCUUUAGUGCAUUUGUGGGAAACCCUCCUCAGCUGAAUGGUGUUGGUUUAAAAUUAUGAAUUAACUGCUAGACUUAAGGAUAUUCUGAUGCAGAAAUGUGUUAGUUAUUUAAUAUAGAAAAAUAUUUAUUCAGGACACAUGAAUUAGGUAGUGACCAUGAACUUGAAUUCAGGGUUGGAGCUGUUUUGAGGAAGGCAAGGACAAUAGGGCUAAUUUAGCUUAAAGCGAUUGUUGGGGUUUUUUCUCCUUGUUUACUUACAUAUGCAGAUGCAGUAAAGUGUCUCUCAGCAGCCUGACCUUCCUUAGCUGGUAUCUGUGUAAACUUCCGUAUGGCCUUUGCUUAUUUUAUUCUUGCUUUCCCAGGCUCUGAGCUGAACAACUUUUUAGAAAGGGAUGUGGGCAAAAUUUAGGCAUUGAAUUCUAAAGCUGAAAUCUUAACCCUGUGUCUGUCCCUGGGAGCACCUCAAGAGCCUCCAAGUUGGUACCUUAAAUUUUGGCCGACAGAGCUCUCCCACCACCUGAAAUGAUGCUUUUUCUGCCGAAACAUGCUUAAGUCUAGACAGGACUUGAGUGCCUUGGCAUGUAGCCCCAUGUUAGCCUGACCAAUCCCCAUAAUAUUAAUGAGCUUUAAUGCCUGUUCUCCUGUGGCAGAAUAGUCGCCUCCCAUGUGCUGGAACUGCCAACCAUAUGCCAAGGAGAUCAAGCCGUCAGUUUUGAGACUAGCGCUGGGAGUAGCCUGCUGUGUCUCAUUUACUCUGCUGGCCUGGUGCUGGGAGAGUGGCUCUGCAGCAGCAGUAGCUGCGCUCUACUGUUCCUGGGGUCCCUUUCUGAGAGGUGUAACAGAGUAUGGAAUGGUUCUAGCAAAUGCAGCAACUUAAGAACUGCACUGUGACAACUGGUGGGAGACUGCUUGGGCUUUGUACACUUACUGAUGCUGAAGGACUGCAGGAACCAGGGCAGAUCUUCACUGCAGAGGGGAAAAAAACCAACCUGAUGUGGCCGGCUGAAAUUUGCCACUACGCGUGGUCUGGCUGUUUUAGAGGGUAUUUUUUCCUGACCCUUCUUUUUGGUCAGGGUCGCUAUCCCAGAAGGAGGAUAGAAGGUGCUCCCUGGAACUGGAUGCCAUUUCUCAGCAGAGCUACUUGCUGGGUCUCACAUGCUUUUAAAGUCUACUGUGGGCCUGAAUGGAAACAAGAGCGAGCGAAUGAUUUGACACACAUUCUCCUGAUUGGACAUACUGUAUGCUUACAACACGGUAUGUCCCCCAGAAGUCCAAAAUACAUGUUCCUGAACAGGCACAAAUCUGACUGUUCCCCUGAUAAAUUGUACGUGUGGAAAGAUAUAAUUUGUGUGGUUGUCAUCAAACCCAACGUAUGUAUUCAUUUGUGGAAGCAUGUCAGACACCAUAUGUCAGUAAUAUGCCUUUGAUAUGUUGGUGUCUGAAUCAUUUUAACAGCUGAAUGGCAUAUGUGUAAAUAUAAACAUCUGUCCUAUGUUUGUACUGUCUGUAUUUAUAUUUUUCUCUUGACUAAGACUUUGAUUCAAACCCAGGAAAAGUGUGGGAUUCAUCCUAUUUUUAAAGAAAUCCAGUAUUUGUAGUAUUUCAGCAUGUGACCAAUUUUUUUUUUUUUUUUUUAAUAUCUAGAUGAGAAGGGGAUUCAAAAGAAAUUUUUUUCCCUUUUGGUAACUGGAACAAACUCAUUUUUCAGGUAAAAUAAAAAUUUGGUGUUACUAGAAGUUUGUUAAAUGAGAAGAUUAUUGUUUUAGUGUUGGGUAGGUUCUAUAAUGUAUGGAUUUACUGAAAAGCAAUCCAGUAAGAGUGGUGCAUUAAACCACGAUAACAGUAAGUCGGUUUUAUCCAGAAACUUUUCUGGUGCAGUCAAAGAACUUGCAGCGUAAUAAAUUACUUAAUAAAGGAAUGGAAUAAUA